UGCAAGUCGAGCGAAGUGGAGGAAGCUUGCUUCCAAAGCUUAGCGGCGGACGGGUGAGUAACACGUGGGCAAUCUGGCUGUAGGACAGGGAUAACCCCGGGAAACCGGAGCUAAUACCGGAUAGAGGUAAAGAUCGCAUGAGCUUUACCGGAAAGAUGGCGCAAGCUAUCACCUGCAGAUGAGCCCGCGGCGCAUUAGCUAGUUGGUGGGGUAACGGCCUACCAAGGCGACGAUGCGUAGCCGACCUGAGAGGGUGAUCGGCCACACUGGGACUGAGACACGGCCCAGACUCCUACGGGAGGCAGCAGUAGGGAAUCUUCCGCAAUGGACGAAAGUCUGACGGAGCAACGCCGCGUGAGUGAUGAAGGUUUUCGGAUUGUAAAACUCUGUCAUUAGGGAAGAACGGCUAUGGUUUAAAGAAGGCCAUAGAGUGACGGUACCUAAAGAGGAAGCCCCGGCUAACUACGUGCCAGCAGCCGCGGUAAUACGUAGGGGGCAAGCGUUGUCCGGAAUUAUUGGGCGUAAAGCGCGCGCAGGCGGUUCUUUAAGUCUGAUGUGAAAGCCCACGGCUCAACCGUGGAGGGUCAUUGGAAACUGGAGGACUUGAGUGCAGGAGAA
Molecule: ribosomal RNA, 618 nt
Filed under: bacterium enrichment culture clone aHCH2_B3
Lineage: Bacteria
Description: bacterial SSU rRNA
Rfam family: Bacterial small subunit ribosomal RNA
Source: RNAcentral